This 511-nucleotide long non-coding RNA is filed under the name Ricinus communis (castor bean). RNAcentral describes it as "long non-coding RNA (RCOM_LNC000477)". The record is from RNAcentral. Lineage: Eukaryota; Viridiplantae; Streptophyta; Magnoliopsida; Malpighiales; Euphorbiaceae.
UAAAUUGUAAUUAUUUGUUAAGUUAAAUCGAAAAAUAAAAAUAUUAAAAGUCAUAAAAAUAAAAUUAAGUGCUUGUUAGAUUAACUUGCAAAUUAAGAUGUUAAAGUGACUAAACAAUUAAAAUCGGAGUGUUUAAACAUGCAUUUGUGACCAAGUCCAAUCAAAACACAUCAAUUUUCCCACCAAUCUUCAAAUUUAAAACAUUUUUUGUCUUUGAUUUUCCAAGCAAAAAAUUAACCAAAGUCUCCCAAUUUUUCACUUGAAAUCCCCUUUACUCGUAAAUACAAACUCUCUAAAUCCAUACGAAAACCCAAAUGACCACUAACCUUCAUUACUUAGUGCUGAAGUAGUCCAUCAAUUUCCGCCCCUCACCACCAGGAGCAGCUCCAUCGGAUGUUGUCUCCAUACCAUUAGCGAUGUCGCUUAGUAGCUACAGGUGGGCUUCGAUUGAAUCAUCUCCUCCUUCAACACACAAGGGGAGUAAGAGCUGCAGAAAUAACAGCUCCUUCCC